Gasterosteus aculeatus aculeatus (three-spined stickleback) is the source of this 2193-nucleotide long non-coding RNA. Lineage: Eukaryota; Metazoa; Chordata; Actinopteri; Perciformes; Gasterosteidae. The record is from Ensembl.
CAUAGAGAUGAACAGCUUCAUUAACACGGCUUUUACUUUUUUAACUAAAAUCCCGAAAGCUUUGGGAGGGAAAACGUACCUGCAGGAUGGAGAAGAGUUUCCAGCGAUAGUACACAUGAUCUUGGCUUUUGUUGUCAAAAAGGAACCUGAAAACAACAAAAGAAGCAAGCUGACCAAACAUGUCCAUGAUCAAACACACGGACAGCGGCAGCAGCACUUACCUGUAAUCAGGAUUGCUUUUCUCCUUGUUCAUGAUUACCGCUUCGAACACGGGGCCUUCACGCACCACAAACUCUAUCAUCCUGUGGAUGAGGAAUAAUAGGUUCCUGUGGGAAGAGGAGAGCGGGGUCAGAGCGGGGCUUCGCAACACCAUCCAGCGCUAACGGCUCUGACGCCUCCUCAUGCUGCACUAGUGGCCCGUGCGUGCAUUUAUUGACCGUAAUGAAUAAAAAAAAAGGCGACAGCCCCUGGGACGCGCCGCUUUGCAAAACUGCUUGGUGUACUGUCCUCUGUGCAGAGGGUGCCUCAGCGUACUUUAAAUGUUCCCGGGGCACUGUGUCCAUGGAAGGCGUAAAAUAAAUCACACAGAGUCAAUGACUUUACAGGCCAGUUUGAAUGCAAUACAAAUUAUGCUCUAAAAAUAACUGGGGAAAAAACACACUGGACACAUAAUAAAUCAGCAUCAGGGUGCUAUAGAGAAGUUAUUGUGGAUUGUGGCGUCAGGCCUGAACCGGAGCCUCAAUGUACAGUGUGUUCAUGCAGUGUCACCUGAUGUCUACCGCUGCAGUUACCCCUUCAUAACGCUCACUACUCUCACCCCCGAAGCAGCACUCGGUUUGUCUUAUAGCACCAGCAUGAAUCCACAUCGUCUGACUCGGGUUAAUAUCAGAUCUAGCUGCCUUCUAGCUGUAUCCGUCUGCAGUGUCUCAGCCUGCCCACGAGAAACCCAGAGCCCAAAGACGUUCUUACAGCCCAGUUACCAAGUCUACUGCUUUUCACAAUAACACGUAUUAAUAAGACGGGAGGAACAUGAAUCAUCGGACAUAUUUGGGCAAACCAGAAGGGGGUAAACACCAGUGUCCAUAAAGAAACUACUAACUGCAUUCACUGUAUGUGAAUCUGAGGAGAUCGGGACCUUUGACAUCUACUGUAAGAACCCUCAGUCUUACGUUGCAGAUGUCCAAAUGUCCACAGGAUUGUUUAUCAUGUCCUUUAUGUCGGAUGCAUUAACAGCCUGAAUCCUUACAGGUCCUGUAACACUGUGUUAUUACAGCUGGUCAGUCGUAGCAGGAAGAGUGUGUGUACCUUUCGGUCGGGAUAACCACUUUGACUACGGCUUCGGACAGAGUCUGUUUGUGAAGUCAAAUCAAAUAGUGAAAGUAUUAAAACGUGAGUACUUGUACAGAUGAAACACUGCAGGAUACAUACAGCAUAGAAAACGACGACAGCAUUCAGUCAGUGAAAUGAGGGGAGGGAGACACAGCUUCAGUUAACUAAUGCAAAAAUGCUAAACCAGAUGUGUUAGCCGAGCUAACCGAUCCAACAUAAACAUUCUAUACACAAGUCAAACUGUUAUGUUACUUUGAAUUCAUGCAUUUUGUUACCCUGCGAUAUGGCACUGCACGGACACGGUGAUCAAUUAGAGGAAUGAUGACAAGCAUUGUAACAUUAUUCACAACUUUUUACAUCAUGACCGACUAAUAAAUAAACUGAUCAACUCAUUCUGAUUCAGUUGCAGAACCCACUGCAGUUUUUGUAUUUCAAUUUAUAAUUGAAGCCAAAUAAUACAUUUUCAGGGUGUGCAAAGAAAAAAAGACAAUUUGCAUAAAGCGCGGAGCAUUACAUUUAAAUAUCAUACAGUAAAAUCUUCUCUGAAGUCUUAUUAAAUCUAUUUUUGUGGGGACUGUAGUGCCACACACACACACAUUAGAGGGAGGGGGCGGAGGGGGGUGGGGGGGGGGUGUAGUCAUGCCCCGGAGUACAGAGACAGCGUUACCUUGUCCAGCUCUCCUUUGGACAUGCCGAGCGGCUUGGUGAAGUCAUUGCGGAAGCGAUCCCUCGGCUGAGCGUUGAAGGGGAGGCCCGAUGGGGGCGGCGGGGUGACCCGCACCCCCGCCGGCGUGUAGAGAGGCUGGGGCGGAAUCCGUGCUGGUUUACCCCAGCCGAGCUUCAUUUCAAACCCCAUGAUCACUU